UUUCUAUUCAGGCGUUUCCUUUAAAAACAUAAGUCAGUGAAACGAUUAUAACAGUAUUCCAAUGGAUUUUUUAAAAGUAUUGUUUGUUGCAACUAACCCAUUAUCCAGGAUCAGGGUUGCACAAGGUGGCAGGGUGUAGAAAUAUAACCUCUCAUUAUAAUAUGUAGGGCUCAUUUGUAAUGAAGGGUAGCACAAUGCCUUCUGAAGAUCUGGAUGUUUUACAGCAAGUUUGAGGAUUUUGGUGACGUGAGAGUGCUGGGAUCCAGAGGAAAUCCAGAACUCAUUCUUGUGGACGUUGACAGCCGAAUGGAUAAAUUCCCGCCUCUCAUGGUCACUGAUGACUAUGAAAGGGACUUCAGGCUCCAGUUUCUUCUCCUGGGCAUAAUGACUGUAGAAUCCAACCACAUGGUGUUGUGCACUAGCCUGGAUGGCGGAUGGUUGCUCUACGAUGACAUGAAACCUUCACUGUUCAGGAACGUCAACUUGGAAGAUAUACAGACCAAGGGUUACGUGGCUAACCUGGCAGCCUAUGUCAAAGUGUCAGCAAAGAAUGAGAAGCAAGACUGAAGACACUCUGCACUCCUCAGAGAGAGCACAACUUCCUGCUCUCUCCUUGUAUGUAUGUGUCUGUUCUAGGAAUACUCCGAUCAGGGUUUUUGGGGCCAAACAACGGAAUCAUAAUCGGCCGAUACCAAUCAUGGGGUGGGUGGAGGGUAUUGGGAUGUUCUAUUAAUUGUGAAGCAUUAUUUAUCUACUACGUAUAGCAAUAAAAGUCACAAUUCUUGGCAGCAUCACACUGUGGCCAAGAAGCCAUUUCAGCAAGCUGCUUUUGCCAAAGAUGGCUGACAUAUCUGAUUGGCUCUUCUGAUUGGCCUUCAAGGCUCCAAUCAAAGCAUUUAGAAUUAAUAUCAGCCGAUAAUGAUUGCCAGCGAACUGUUCGGAGUAUCCGUAGACUGUUCAUCUUCUGAAUGGACUCACUUUUUUAUUUUACAUUUGGUCUUCUUAAUAGUGUGAAGAACUGACCAAAUUUCUUUUUUAUUCUGGGAAAAACUACUCCUGCUCUAUACUCCUGCUCUACUGCGAUGUAACAAGCGCGCACAGUUUAUUUAUUGAAGAACACAGGGUAAGAAAGGCAACUAAUAGAACAAGGAAUUAUGAAGGAAACAAACUAUGCACACUUGUCACUUUUAUUAUUUGUUGCUUCGUUUGUCCAGAGAAUGUUUUGUUAUUUCAUGAACAGAGACUUGCAUAGGUACUGUAUAAUUCAACAACUGAGGCCAGUGUGACCAACGAACAACUUAGACUUAAAAUGGACCAAGAAGUGUCAUGUGUAUUAACCGCAUAUCUUGCACAAUGUCCAAUGUGAAUACUGCCAAGCUGACUACCAAACUCAUCCAUGCAGAUGAGUCCUUUAACAAACCGCAUUAGAUAGCCAGUGGAGGACUACAGUAUGUACUGUAGAACAACAGAUGAUUACAUUUGGUCCCUGAUAUUUCAAAAGGUACCUGACUGUCUGAAUGUUUAAUUAAUUUAUUUGAAACUGAUUUUUUUAAUCUUUAGUAUGUACAAUAAGCUAUUUUCAAAGCUCUGGAUUUCUUAGAUUUAAGUAUUCCUAUUAAGUAUUACAGUUUUGAUUUUAUUUCAUUUUGUCAGUUGUUUUUUGACAGAAAAAACAAGCUUUUCAAGAAAUAGGAAAAACAAAAAAAGUUUUUAUUACUAGACCUGGUAACAUCAUAGUUACACAAAACUCUAAACUGGAUAUACAACCAUCUCUUCAAUUUAGAAUGUUCUUUUUUUGGUACACUAUUACUGUCUAUAUAACUACAUUAAUAAAUAUUUUCUGUUACUCUAAACUUCUACCAAGUAUUGUUCACCUGUAAGCAAUUGACUACUUUUUACAUAAAAACUUGAUCAAGGCUGCCUGAAAUCAGAAGCAAGGAGCCAACCAAAGCAGAAAAACUGUGACAGGUUCUCCAACAUGCUUGGAACAACCUCCCUGCUGAUUGUCUUAUAGAAUAAAGUCAAUUAAAAAUAGAA
Molecule: long non-coding RNA, 2037 nt
Organism: Conger conger (European conger)
Lineage: Eukaryota; Metazoa; Chordata; Actinopteri; Anguilliformes; Congridae
Exons: 2
Source: RefSeq, a predicted model, not a curated record